GUCAUUGAUUUUUCCAAACUCAAUGCCAAUAUUCAUGGAUUGAAUUGUUUACUAAAAUUAAAUUGUUAUGUUAUGUAGUUGUGGCUGAGUGUGGAAAGCUUCCACUAGCUCUUAAAGUGAUCGGAGCUUCGUUUGCAAAAUCAGAAUGAAUUGUAUUGGUUAAGCGAUAAAACAAGGAUUUCUCAAGGCUUAAGCAUCGAUGCUCAAGGCAAUAAAUUCGAUAUCGGCGCUGCUAGGAGGCUUUUAGCAGGUGGCGUGGCUGGAAGAAUUGCGCAGACUGCAAUUUAUCUGUUGGAUUUUAUCGAAACUAGGAUACAGACAUGUGCCUCUAAGGUGGAAGAGCUUCUAAUCUUGGAACACUCACAAAAAAUAUAUGGAUUCAAGAGGGACCUCAAGCUUUCAACAUAGGACUUCUUCCAUCUGUGAUCGGUACAAUUCCUUAUGCUAGCAUUGAUCUCGCUGUUUACCAUACAUUGAAAGAUAUGUCUAGAAGAUAUAUCAUUCAUGAUAAUGAUCCUUGACAACGCAGAGAAUAUUUUGAGCAGUACAUUGGGCUUUUGCAAUUAAUGGCCUUUGUCGUUGAGGAAUGGCAGAAACAACAUAAUACUAUACAAAAUUAAUUAUACACACACUUAUUGGCCAUUGAUUAUGUAAAUGUUGAUUGUUGUGACACUAUGUGGGACUUGGGUUGGGCUCCCUUUUCUUCUUUUUCAGGGUUGUAUUGCAUCAUAUCUGAAACCAAACGUCCCAUCACUUUCCAUGUCU
Molecule: long non-coding RNA, 765 nt
Organism: Vicia villosa (hairy vetch)
Lineage: Eukaryota; Viridiplantae; Streptophyta; Magnoliopsida; Fabales; Fabaceae
Exons: 3
Source: RefSeq, a predicted model, not a curated record